Molecule: ribosomal RNA, 845 nt
Filed under: Pestalotiopsis aff. palmarum PP99
Lineage: Eukaryota; Fungi; Ascomycota; Sordariomycetes; Amphisphaeriales; Sporocadaceae
Description: eukaryotic LSU rRNA
Rfam family: Eukaryotic large subunit ribosomal RNA
Source: RNAcentral
CAACAGGGAUUGCCUUAGUAACGGCGAGUGAAGCGGCAACAGCUCAAAUUUGAAAUCUGGCCCUUGGGUCCGAAUUGUAAUUUGUAGAGGAUGAUUUUGGUGCGGUAUCUUCCGAGUUCCUUGGAACAGGACGCCUUAGAGGGUGAGAGCCCCGUACGGUUGAAUGCCUAGCCUCUGUAAAUCUCCUUCGACGAGUCGAGUAGUUUGGGAAUGCUGCUCUAAAUGGGAGGUAAAUUUCUUCUAAAGCUAAAUAUUGGCCAGAGACCGAUAGCGCACAAGUAGAGUGAUCGAAAGAUGAAAAGCACUUUGAAAAGAGGGUUAAAUAGCACGUGAAAUUGUUGAAAGGGAAGGAUUUGUGACCAGACUUUUUCUGGGCGGAUCAUCCGGGGUUCUCUCCGGUGCACUUCGCCCAGUAAAGGCCAGCAUCGGUUUUCGGCGUGGGAUAAAAGCAGUAGGAAUGUGGCUCUCUACGGGGAGUGUUAUAGCCUAUUGUAUAAUACCGCGCUGGGGACCGAGGUUCGCGCUUCUGCAAGGAUGCUGGCGUAAUGGUUAUCAAUCACCCGUCUUGAAACACGGACCAAGGAGUCGAACAUUUGUGCGAGUGUUUGGGUGUUAAACCCUCACGCGUAAUGAAAGUGAACGGAGGUGAGAGCCCUUACGGGUGCAUCAUCGACCGAUCCUGAAGUUUUCGGAUGGAUUUGAGUAAGAGCAUAACUGUUCGGACCCGAAAGAUGGUGAACUAUGCGUGGAUAGGGUGAAGCCAGAGGAAACUCUGGUGGAGGCUCGCAGCGGUUCUGACGUGCAAAUCGAUCGUCAAAUCUGCGCAUGGGGGCGAAAGACUAAUC